Molecule: long non-coding RNA, 1833 nt
Organism: Poeciliopsis prolifica (blackstripe livebearer)
Lineage: Eukaryota; Metazoa; Chordata; Actinopteri; Cyprinodontiformes; Poeciliidae
Exons: 4
Source: RefSeq, a predicted model, not a curated record
AUGUUCCAAGAAUGAAAUCUAAACGACAGCUCACAGUUUUAGUUUUAGUUCUUACAUUAGGUAACACUGUAGUGACAGAAAUAUUCAAAUCACUGAAUUUACGUGUUGCACGCAGCCACUCCCAGGGCCAAAAGUACAAAACCGAGCACCAAAGCCUGCAGGCUGGCUCUGCAAAAACUCUGCACUCAAGCCUUACGUAACCAAGUGCAAAGCAAAGUGUCGAUGCAGUGGAGACGUGUCAUGGAGAGUCAUGUUUCUAUGAUCAGUCGAUCUGCAAAUUACUCCAGGUGGCUUAUAUUUUCAACAAGUUCAUGGUGUUAUAAGAUCUUUUUAUUGCAGAUACUAUUGAGCUGACUAUUCAUUUAGUGCUGGGAAACUGGAGAGAGAAUUCCAAGUCUUGCCUCCUUCCCUCUUCCUGUUCGGUCUUGUGAAACGUGCCUGUCAGCAUGCGCGUCGAUGGCGCUGUUGGACAGCUCAAAGGGCAAGCGUCCCAGUCUCUCAACAGAUUUCCAAUCGGAGGAGUCGAUGCUGCCGGGUAAUGGUGCAGCAUUAGGUCGUGACCUCUGGUCUGGGAUGAUGGACGCUUAGCCUGGUCAGCUCUUAUCAUUGCACAUGAAGGCCACUGAGUGUCUCUCCGUUCCCAGCCUGAUGAAGCUGAUAAGGACUCUGCUCUAAUAGGGUGAAAGCCGGGGGUCAGAAGGAAAAUAUAGCCUCAUCGGGCUUCAGCUCUUGAAAAUGACUGCAAAAAUCCUUCUGAUAAGAUGGAAAAUAAUACAGAAUUGAAUGGAGAAGAAAUCAGUGAUGAUUUUUAUCCCUGCACCGCACUCACAACUAUGCAUUAGCUCCUAAUCAGAGCUGCUGUUUGUCAAAGGGAUUAAAUCAGGUUCGGCUGAACCUUUUCUGACUUCCAGAGUUCUCUGGUUUGUCUAUAUGUAUCUUUUUUUAAGCGUAAGUGCGAAAGGCAGGCAAUGUCAAGCACCGACUCAUUCACACGUAUUUUAAUUCAAUCAAGAAGUUUGUUGCUGAUCGGAACUGAGAGAGAGAUAUCUCAAAAGAUAACGGGACGGGUUUUUGAUUCAGCAUGUUUUGACUGGUAUUAAUUGAGGUGGGAAGGCUUUUCUCCAUCUUCAUUUUUAGCUCCUCUUUCAGAUAAUCUAUCAUAUUUACGUCAUGAUUCCGGCUUGGCGGCUCCAGAACAUUAUUAUUGUCUAAAAUGAAAACUAAAUCUGCUAAUUGGUAGAUCUCAAUUUUAGUGAUACUCCUUCCAUUUCUAAGAAAUUUUGGAACAUUACUAAGUAAUCUAAUGACUUUAUCCUCAAAUAUGUAGCAUUUACAUUCUAUUUUCUGUUAUUUCUGUUCUUUUCGAUGCUGUUUGGUUCUCCAACGACCUCUGUGAAACAUCUGAGGCCUUCGCCGAGCUCUAAUAGCGAGAACUAAAUGUAAAUUGUGCUCUACGAUUCUCAGGUUUUCACUCGUAAAGCGCAUUGAAAGCCAGUUGACGUUGUUUUCCUUGACUUCACGGCUACUACUACGCCACGAACUCCCGGUAAAGCUCGGAGUCGUGGAGGAAAUCAAUAUUGUCUCCAGGCACGACAUAUCUCCGAGUGGAGAGAAGAUGGCGUCGGUUGGAUUCUCAAUUCCCAUCAGGUAUUAACUUCCUCCCGACUCACAGCCGGUCGUGACUUGCAUCACUCAGCGACUCGCAUCAGGUGGUGACAGGCAGCCAUAAGGCCCCUGUUGGUUUGGCAGUGUUUCCUAAAUGCCUCCGCUCACACAAACAUGUUUUUAAAAGAUAGAAUGAUCUAUUUGCUCUGUGUUGCAUCACGAUCUGAA